This 1306-nucleotide ribosomal RNA is filed under the name uncultured bacterium. RNAcentral's name for it is "bacterial SSU rRNA". It matches the Rfam family "Bacterial small subunit ribosomal RNA", at positions 28 to 1381 of the family's 1533-position model. The record is from RNAcentral.
AACGUACGCUGGCGGCACGCUUAACACAUGCAAGUCGAACGAAGUAGCAAUACUUAGUGGCAGACGGGUGAGUAACAUGUGGGUAUCUGCCCUUUGGCCUGGAAUAUCACGAGGAAACUUGUGCUAAUACCGGAUAAGUCUUUACGGAGAAAGCUUUAUGCACCAUUGGAUGAGCCCGCACUUGAUUAGUUUGUUGGUGGGGUAAUGGCCUACCAAGACUGUGAUCAAUAGCUGAUUUGAGAGGAUGAUCAGCCACAUUGGGACUGAGACACGGCCCAAACUCCUACGGGAGGCAGCAGUGGGGAAUCUUGCACAAUGGAGGAAACUCUGAUGCAGCGAUGCCGCGUGAGUGAAGAAGGCCCUUGGGUUGUAAAGCUCUUUCGUCGGGGAAGAAAAUGACUGUACCCGAAUAAGAAGGUCCGGCUAACUUCGUGCCAGCAGCCGCGGUAAUACGAAGGGACCUAGCGUAGUUCGGAAUUACUGGGCUUAAAGAGUUCGUAGGUGGUUGAAAAAGUUAGUGGUGAAAUCCCAGAGCUUAACUCUGGAACUGCCAUUAAAACUUUUCAGCUAGAGUAUGAUAGAGGAAAGCAGAAUUUCUAGUGUAGAGGUGAAAUUCGUAGAUAUUAGAAAGAAUACCAAUUGCGAAGGCAGCUUUCUGGAUCAUUACUGACACUGAGGAACGAAAGCAUGGGUAGCGAAGAGGAUUAGAUACCCUCGUAGUCCAUGCCGUAAACGAUGUGUGUUAGACGUUGGAAAUUUAUUUUCAGUGUCGCAGCGAAAGCGAUAAACACACCGCCUGGGGAGUACGACCGCAAGGUUAAAACUCAAAUGAAUUGACGGGGACCCGCACAAGUAGUGGAGCAUGUGGUUUAAUUCGAAGAUACGCGCAGAACCUUACCAACACUUGACAUGUUCGUCGCGACUCUAAGAGAUUAGAGUUUUCGGUUCGGCCGGACGAAACACAGGUGCUGCAUGGCUGUCGUCAGCUCGUGUCGUGAGAUGUUGGGUUAAGUCCCGCAACGAGCGCAACCCUCACUUUUAGUUGCCAUCAUUUAGUUGGGCACUCUGAAAGAACUGCCAGUGAUAAGCUGGAGGAAGGUGGGGAUGACGUCAAGUCCUCAUGGCCCUUACGUGUUGGGCUACACACGUGCUACAAUGGUAUCUACAACAGGAAGCAAGACUGCGAGGUCAAGCAAAUCCUUAAAAGAUACCUCAGUUCGGAUUGCACUCUGCAACUCGAGUGCAUGAAGCUGGAAUUACUAGUAAUCGUGGAUCAGCGUGCCACGGUGAAUGCGUUCCCGGGUCU